Molecule: long non-coding RNA, 714 nt
Organism: Mugil cephalus (flathead mullet)
Lineage: Eukaryota; Metazoa; Chordata; Actinopteri; Mugiliformes; Mugilidae
Exons: 7
Source: RefSeq, a predicted model, not a curated record
ACACUGAGAAAGCGGCCUUCUUUUGCCGUGCAUAUGAUGAGGACAGCCAGGGCAUCUUAUGCACCCCUGAAGUAGUCCCAUCCACCGCAUCUGUAUCAGUUCAGAAUGUAUAUCCUUCUCAGACCGUAAUCUGGCCAGGGAGCGGACUGUUUGAAGCAGGUGACGAAGCAAUACUAGACAGCGUUUUGGAUUACGGGAACGAGAGUGGACUUCUAUCUCUAUCUGAAAUUCAUACAACAGACAGGCCCGAGACACCUCCGACUAACGAGUGCAGACCAGAACCCGCUCACAAGGUGGACAAGACUACUUGUACCAGCGAAGACGGUGUCUACCCGCUACUCGUCAUACCCGACACGCCAGAAAAGCAAGGCAGACAACCGGCUAACACUAAAGAAGCUGACACUGACGGAGGACCAUCUGGAUCCGAAAUUAGCAUACCAGAAGCGCCAGGGAAAGCCGUGACUGACGACUCCAGGCCAUACCCCAAACUGAAGCAUUCCACUAGAAGAAGCGGCAGGAGGAAUACGAGGAGAUCAGCUUCAGGACGUCGGGUCUAUCGAGAGGGAAGGUUGUGAAAACUUUUUGGAAAAUACUGACUUCUGUUUGUGAAUUGACUUCAGCGUUGACUAGGUAGAGUCGUGUGUGUUGUAAUGAUGAAUGAUCAAGGGGAAAAUUCGGUCUCGCAGUCAGCUCUGUUAUCUUUACAGUCUUCGG